AUGGAGAAGCUGGGAAUGAACCCCGUCAACGCGUGCCCGCUCACGCCGCUGGGGUUUCUGGAGCGUGCGGCCACCGCUUUCGGCGGCUGCCGGUCCGUCGUCUACCAUGACGCCGUCUGGACCUGGAGCCAGACCUUCCGACGCUGCCUCCGCCUCGCCUCCGCGCUCGUGUCGCUGGGCGUCUCCCGCGGCGACGUGGUCUCGGCGCUCCUACCCAACGUGCCGGCCAUGUACGAGAUGCACUUCGGCGUGCCCAUGAGCGGCGCCGUGCUCAACACCAUCAACACGAGCCUCGACGCGGCCACAGUGGCCGUCCUGCUCGGCCACUCCGGUGCCAAGAUCGUCUUCGCUGAUCCGGCGUUCCUGCCGCUCCUCACCGACGCGCUCCACCUUCUGCCGCCAGGGGGCCAACCUGCGCCGCGUGUCAUCCUCGUCGAGGACCCCUACUAUGAGAAGGAGCGUGCGAACGAUGAGGUGGCAGUACUCACCACGUACGAGAUGCUUCUCGAGAAGGGAGACCCGGAGUUCGCCUGGGUCCGGCCGGCGACCGAGUGGGAUCCCAUGAUCCUCAACUACACCUCAGGCACGACGUCGGCGCCCAAAGGGGUGGUCAACUGCCACCGCGGGAUUUUCUUGAUCACCGUCAACUCGCUCAUUGACUGGGCGGUGCCAGCGCGGCCGACGUUCCUGUGGACGCUGCCCAUGUUCCACGCCAACGGGUCGAGCUUCCCCUGGGGGAUGGCCAUGGUGGGCGGCACCAACGUCUGCCUCCGCCGUGUCGACGCCGUCGAGGUCUACGCCACCAUCGCUCGCAACGACGUCACCCACCUCUGCGCCUCGCCGAUGGUGCUCAACGUGCUGGCCAACGCACCCGAGGGCGUGCGGAGGCUCCUAACAGCAGGGAAGGUGCGUGUCCUGACGGGCGGCGCGCAGCUGCCGGCCGCCGUGCUGGAGCUGGCUGAGGCCGUCGGCUUCCAGGUCAGCCACGGGUACGGGCUGAGCGAGACCGGGGGGCUGGUGGUGUCGUGCGUGUGGAAAGACGAGUGGAACAAGCUGCCGGCGCCCGAGCGAGCGCGGCUCAAGACGAGGCAGGGCGUGCGCACACCGGUGAUGGCCGAGGUGGCCAUCCUCGACAGCGAAACGGGCCGCAGCGUGCCCCACGACGGAUCCACAAUGGGCGAGAUCGUGCUCAGCGGUAGCUGCGUCAUGCUGGGGUACCUCAACGACGACAAGGCGACCCAGGCGGCGAUCCGAGACGACGGGUGGUUCCACACGGGGGACAUCGGGGUCAUGCACCCGGACGGCUACCUGGAGAUCCGUGACCGCUCCAAGGACGUGAUCGUGAGUGGCGGGGACACCAUCAGCAGCAUGGAGGUGGAGUCAGCGCUGUACGGUCACCCGGCGGUGAACGAGGCCGCGGUGGUGGCCCGGCUAGACGAGGUGUUAGGGGAGGCACCAUGUGCGUUCGUGAGCCUCAAGGAAGCUUGCACCGUGACCGCGGACGAGCUGAUCGCAUGGAGCCGGGAGCGCAUGCCGCACUUCAUGGUGCCCAAGACCGUGGUCUUCCGUGCCGAGCUGCCCAAGACAUCCACCGGAAAGAUGAAGAAGUACGUGCUCCGCGACCUCGCCAGCGGGAUGGGACCCACACGCGGCAGCUCCGGGGUGUAG
This 1668-nucleotide ribosomal RNA is filed under the name Triticum aestivum (bread wheat). RNAcentral's name for it is "partial small subunit ribosomal RNA". Lineage: Eukaryota; Viridiplantae; Streptophyta; Magnoliopsida; Poales; Poaceae. The record is from RNAcentral.